UGCGGAAGAUCCAUUGUCG
Molecule: ribosomal RNA, 19 nt
Filed under: Paliurus hirsutus
Lineage: Eukaryota; Viridiplantae; Streptophyta; Magnoliopsida; Rosales; Rhamnaceae
Description: partial 18S ribosomal RNA
Source: RNAcentral